AGGGGAUAUCGCGGUCUCCCCUUCAGAUGCAGUCGCCAUCCAAGCGCCGU
This 50-nucleotide non-coding RNA is filed under the name unclassified sequences. RNAcentral's name for it is "chromate-resist RNA". It matches the Rfam family "chrB-b RNA". The record is from RNAcentral.